AUUGAACGCUGGCGGAAUGCUUUACACAUGCAAGUCGAGCGGCAGCGCGGGGCAACCUGGCGGCGAGCGGCGAACGGGUGAGUAACACAUCGGAACGUGCCCAGACGUGGGGGAUAGCCCGGCGAAAGCCGGAUUAAUACCGCAUACGAUCUAAGGAUGAAAGCGGGGGACGUCGCAAGGGCCUCGCGCGUUUGGAGCGGCCGAUGGCAGAUUAGGUAGUUGGUGGGGUAAAGGCUUACCAAGCCUGCGAUCUGUAGCUGGUCUGAGAGGAUGAUCAGCCACACUGGGACUGAGACACGGCCCAGACUCCUACGGGAGGCAGCAGUGGGGAAUUUUGGACAAUGGGCGCAAGCCUGAUCCAGCCAUUCCGCGUGCAGGACGAAGGCCUUCGGUGUAAACUGCUUUGUACGGAACGAAAGGUACUUCUCUAAUACAGAGGGCCCGAUGACGGUACCGUAAGAAUAAGACACCGGCUAACUACGUGCC
This 486-nucleotide ribosomal RNA is filed under the name uncultured bacterium. Its description in RNAcentral is "bacterial SSU rRNA". It matches the Rfam family "Bacterial small subunit ribosomal RNA", at positions 29 to 509 of the family's 1533-position model. The record is from RNAcentral.